Molecule: long non-coding RNA, 832 nt
Organism: Capsicum annuum
Lineage: Eukaryota; Viridiplantae; Streptophyta; Magnoliopsida; Solanales; Solanaceae
Exons: 5
Source: RefSeq, a predicted model, not a curated record
UAAUAAUCCGGUCCUUAAUUUAGUACUCUAUUGUGAAGGUAUUAAAUCUUGUCCUAAAUAAUUUAGUAACUGGUCCUUAAUUAUAAUUGAGAGUUUUUGAGUGGGAGAAAGUACGCCAAUGUAAUACUGAAAUAUUUUAAAAAAAUAGAAUUCUAUGUAAAACUUCUAAAGCAUCAAAAGAAACCAUAUAUUCUGAAUUAAAAAUUCUGAAGUUAAAAACUCUCAAUUUUCUCCAUCAGUCCCGAUUUUCCCUAAUUCAGUUCUCUUAAUUGAACUACUCUUCAAGUUCUCUCGAUAGAACAUCUCUUUGUCAAAGUCUAUCGUUGCAGGAGUAUCCGUCAGUCUUCUUUCUCUUUGAGGAUCAGUUGAAGAAGGAGAAAACACCCUCACAUUCCCUUCCUGGGAAGUAUUUCCAAGGUCAUCAACAUUUAUAAGAGAGUAUUGUGAAUUAUUGAACUGGAGUUCUGCUUUGAGUAGGUGACUGUAUUCAAGUUCAUAUUCUAGUCCUCCAUCUACUAACCAAGUUAAGCAAUGCAUCAAAGAAGUUGAAACAAUAUGCAACUGCCCAUCAAAAGAGCAAUUUUGAAGGUGUCCAAAAUAAAGAAACAGAUGAAGAAAGAAGUGAUGAAGACAUUGACCUUACUUAAGAAGAUUUUUGGAUUGUUGAUAAAUGCUCUAAUAUCGAACAUUUCGAUAUUGAAUUUCUGAAAACUUAUUGCGAUUCGAUCUUCAUACUAUGUAAAAAUUUAACUAAUCAUUUGAAUUUGGAUUACUAGCUUGUUGUAUAUCUUGGAGUAUAAUUAUUAAUGAAUCAUUUGGUUUGUGAUGUGUA